This 492-nucleotide ribosomal RNA is filed under the name uncultured bacterium. RNAcentral describes it as "bacterial SSU rRNA". It matches the Rfam family "Bacterial small subunit ribosomal RNA", at positions 16 to 507 of the family's 1533-position model. The record is from RNAcentral.
AUCCUGGCUCAGGAUGAACGCUGGCGGCGUGCCUAACACAUGCAAGUCGAACGAAGCACUUUUUUACGAUCCCUUCGGGGUGACGAAUUUGUGACUGAGUGGCGGACGGGUGAGUAACGCGUGGGAAACCUGCCUUGUACCGGGGGAUAGCAGUUGGAAACGACUGAUAAUACCGCAUAAGCGCACAGUAUCACAUGAUACAGUGUGAAAAACUCCGGUGGUACAAGAUGGUCCCGCGUCUGAUUAGCUUGUUGGCGGGGUAAUGGCCCACCAAGGCGACGAUCAGUAGCCGACCUGAGAGGGUGACCGGCCACAUUGGGACUGAGACACGGCCCAAACUCCUACGGGAGGCAGCAGUGGGGAAUAUUGCACAAUGGAGGAAACUCUGAUGCAGCGACGCCGCGUGAGCGAUGAAGUAUUUCGGUAUGUAAAGCUCUAUCAGCAGGGAAGAUAAUGACGGUACCUGACUAAGAAGCACCGGCUAAAUACGUG